This 253-nucleotide ribosomal RNA is filed under the name uncultured bacterium. RNAcentral describes it as "partial 16S ribosomal RNA". It matches the Rfam family "Bacterial small subunit ribosomal RNA", at positions 524 to 776 of the family's 1533-position model. The record is from RNAcentral.
UACGUAGGGCGCAAGCGUUGUCCGGAAUUACUGGGCGUAAAGGGCUUGUAGGCGGCCAACUAAGUCCGACGUGAAAUCCCCAGGCUUAACCUGGGAACUGCGUCGGAUACUGGAUGGCUUGAAUUCGGGAGAGGGAUGCAGAAUUCCAGGUGUAGCGGUGAAAUGCGUAGAUAUCUGGAGGAAUACCAGUGGCGAAGGCGGCAUCCUGGACCGACAUUGACGCUGAGGAGCGAAAGCUAGGGGAGCAAACGGG